RNAcentral lists this long non-coding RNA (16025 nucleotides) under Triticum aestivum (bread wheat). RNAcentral's name for it is "long non-coding RNA (TAES_LNC022255)". Lineage: Eukaryota; Viridiplantae; Streptophyta; Magnoliopsida; Poales; Poaceae. The record is from RNAcentral.
GGCGACUACGGCUUCGACCCCUUCGGCCUCGGGAAGCCCGCGGAGUACCUGCAGUACGACGUGGACUCCCUGGACCAGAACCUGGCCCAGAACCUGGCGGGCGAGAUCAUCGGCACCCGGUUCGAGGACGCCGACGUCAAGUCCACCCCGUUCCAGCCCUACGCCGAGGUGUUCGGCCUCCAGAGGUUCCGCGAGUGCGAGCUCAUCCACGGCCGCUGGGCCAUGCUCGCCACCCUCGGCGCCCUCACCGUCGAGUGGCUCACCGGCGUCACCUGGCAGGACGCCGGCAAGGUACGCAACGUCGUCUCGACCUCAUGCACGUAUAGGACCUGAAUACUGCAAGGCGAGCGUACUGAUCUGUGCAACGAUGCUGGCAGGUGGAGCUGGUGGACGGGUCGUCGUACCUGGGGCAGCCGCUGCCGUUCACGCUCACCACGUUGAUCUGGAUCGAGGUGCUGGUGAUCGGGUACAUCGAGUUCCAGCGCAACGCGGAGCUGGACCCGGAGAGGAGGCUCUACCCCGGUGGCUCCUACUUCGACCCGCUGGGACUCGCGGCGGACCCGGUGAAGAAGGAGACUCUGCAGCUGGCGGAGAUCAAGCACGCCCGCCUCGCCAUGGUCGCCUUCCUCGGCUUCGCCGUGCAGGCCGCCGCCACCGGCAAGGGGCCACUCAACAACUGGGCCACCCACCUCAGCGACCCGCUGCACACCACCAUCUUCGACACCUUCGGCUCCUCUUAAGUGGUCGGUGGUCGAGCAAUUUCUGUCAGCUCAGCUGCAAAAUGGACGAACGCGCGUCAGUGUACGAACGUGCUUUGGUUUUGUAUGACGAGUGAUGGAUGAGAGGGUAUCGCAAAGAUCCUUUGUUGAUUAAUGCAGGUCUGAUCACAUAGGAGAGCUGCUGGGACUUGGUGAUUUGUAAAAUAUGAACCAAUGGUGACUUAAUGCAUCCACUUGUACAUCAAUCUUGAGCUAAUCUUUUGUUUCGUUUUUGCGAUUACAAAAAUAGCAUCCACGCAAGUGCAAUUCGUAAUCACGAUGCAGAAUUGACCGGGACCGCCCCGCCACACUGUCACUGAGCUUGCUGCCUCUUUGAUCUCUACCAAUGAAUCUUCUCUAAAGACAUGUAUUUCUCUUUCCAAUUCACCUUCAUGUCCCCCGGCGUAAUAUUCAACCUUAUCCACUCACAAGAAAACCCUUGUAAAUCUCUUUUGAGAUACAUAUAGUGAUUCUUGGUCAUAUAAAUUUUGAGGAUGAAACCACUCCAUUCAUUACAGAAUUCUUAUGGUGGUUUUAGUUGAAGAAUUAUGGAACGGAGGGGGUACCGAAAUUGGCCUUUGUUGUGAGAGCUGAGAACUUUGUUGUCUUUGGCCUUGUAUAGCUUCAGUAGUUGUAUCACCAGUUUUGAAGCGGGUGCUAGUUAUGAAACCAUAUGGUGACAGUGCUCGUGGGUGCGUGGUCUGCUGGUGUUGGUCUACUCUUUUGUGUGUAACAUCCCAAAAUUCUAAAUUUUGCAAUGUUAUAUUAAUUAAAUAAAUAUGAUUGAUUGACAGAAACUGAGUGAAAUUUGUUUUUUUUUAAGUUGAAUGAUCGCGGCCGUCGGACAACGCUGGAGCCCUCCCCACCGCUGUAAGCCACCGACGCCCUCCUUCACUAUUAAAUCUGCAACGUACGACGAUUAGGUCAUCGUUUUUAUUUUAAAAGCACGAAUCGUUUUCUACUAUAUUUCGGCCGUCCGCCGUUUAGUCGUAGCGGUGCACACCCAUAGCCCAAUCACGUGUUGCCACGUAGCCCACUGUCCGUUAGCUAGCACUUUUAUUUUCUGUUUUGUUUUUAAUUUUCAUAUUUAGUUCUGUUUUUAUAUUUGCAAUAUCUUUUAUGCUUUAAAUCCAAAUUGAGUGAUUCUUUUUGCUAUAGUUUCUUUUAUGAAGUUUCUGUUUGUGCAAUUGGAUUUCAAAUUUGAGUAGUUUAAACUUGAAUUUCAUGAAAUUUGUUCAAAUCAUUAUUUUGGCCAUAUCUUGAGUUUAAAAAUAUUUUUUUGAGUAAUUCUUUCUGCUACUGAUUUAUUAUUGUUUUGUUUAUCCAGUAGCAUUUAGUGAUUUAUUUUUAUCUUAUUUUAAAUUAGGUUUAUUGCAAAAACAUUACUGUUUUAGUAUCUAAUAGGAUUAAUGCUAUUUCCAUUAGUUUUAAUUAUUUUAAAUUAUUUUUCUUUUGUCAUUUUUGACAGGUUUUAAUUAGUUGCCGUUAGUUAACAGUAGGCAUUUUAUUAGUAUUUAAAAAUAAUUUUUAUUAUUUUUAUUUCUUUUCUUUUGAAAGAAAAUUUGUUUUGAUCAUAGGAGAAGUUUUAUCAAUGCUUUUCAGUUGAUUCUUUUUGCAUAGAAAUUUGUAGAAAAUUUCUUUCUGUUAUUUUUAUAAAAACUUUAUUUUAGGUUCUAUUAAAUUAUUAGUUUAGUAUUUUCUUUACUGUUGAGUUAAGUUAGGACAAAAACUAUAUUUAUGAUGUGUAGUUAAGUCAUAGGACUUUUCUUUAGUAGUUUUUCUUUAUAGUUUUCUUUGGAUUUCAUUUGGUUUUUCUUAUUGAUUUAUUUAUUGAACUUUUAUUUGUUGGUUGUUAACUUGAUUGCUAGAAUGAAUGCUUAUAUGAUUGCAAUGUUUGACUAUAUAUAUUUUAUCGGAGUGACGAAUAGUUCUACCAAGUCAUUUUCUAAUAGCUUUAUAAAUCUUCAUCAAGUAAUACCAGACAAGUUCACUUUGACCAUAUUGUUGUAUACCUAUGAUUUUGCUUUUAUUUAGUGCCACCUUUUUCAUUAAUUCCUCCAGUAGUGGUUUUGAAUUCUUGUAGUUGUAGAAUGCAUGAGGUAGGAACCCAUCUCCCUGUUACCAAGCCCGGGACAUUGCUUAGUUUUAUUGCUACGCUAUAGUAGACGGGGUUUGGUAUGAGUGUUCAAGAGUGGUGUGAGAAUGGAGGACUCUACGCCAAUGACGACAACUUCUUGAUGGCAACUUCAAGACAGACAUUCUUCAAGGCCUGCAUUUCAAGACCUCAAGACUUCAAGACUCGAGACUAGAUUUCAAUACACACUACGGGGUGAAGGAUGGAUUUGAUGAGCACCUUGGAGUAACCAGUGGAUAGCCGGGAUGCAUGGAGAAGCGCCAUGACAUCUUGUGGAAAGCUUCACCCAGACUCAAAGAGACAGAAGAAUAUUUCAUGCCCGGAAGCUUACCUGUGCGACCGCAAGUCAUUGUGGGCUCUGGCUUGGUUAACUCUAGUUGUGACUCUGGCUGGGAUGGUGCCAGCAAUGUAGAACUACGGUAGGAUUGGAUGGGCACCGGACAGUGGUCAGAGGAACUCUUCGAAAGACCAUGUUUCGAUCGUCCUGUUCUCAAAAAAUCUGAAGUGCGAGGAUGAAAAGGGAGGGAUCGAAUCUUGCGGGUAAAGUUUACAAACCUAUGCAGAGUGUUAAAACCUAAUCAAUUAGCCAUGUCCCCGGUUACGGACAAUUUGAGCCUUGAUAUGUCCAUUUUACAUCAUGUUUUCUGAUAUGUCUCCAACGUAUCUAUAUUUUUUUAUUGUUCCAAGCUGUUACAUUAUCAUUCUUGUACGUUUUAGAAUCAUUUUAUAGCAACUUUAUAUCAUUUUUGGGACUAACCUAUUGACAUAGUGCCCAGUGCGAGUUGCUAUUUUUUGCUUGCCUUUUACUUCACAGAAAAUCAAUACCAAACAAAGUGAAACUUUUUUGGAGAUUUUUUCUGAACCAGAAGACACCAGAUGAGCAAAAGAAGUACUAGAGGGGUGCCCCGAGGGGGGCACAACCCACCUAGGCGUGCCCUGGUGUGUUGUGCCCACCUCGGUGCCCUCCCGCACCACCUCUUCGCCCUAUAAAUUCCCAAAUAUUCCAAAAACUCUAGGGGAGUCAAUAGAUCGGAAGUUCCGCCACCGCAAGCCUUUGUAUCUGUGAAAACCAAUCUGGACCCUGUUCCGGCACCCUGCCGGAGGGGGAGAUCAUCACCGGAGGCCAUCUUUAUCAUCCCUAUGGUUUCCAUGAUGAUGAGGGAGUAGCCCACCCUCGGGGCUGAGGGUUUGUACCAGUAGCUAUGUGUUUAAUCUCUCUCUCUCUGGUGUUCUUCAUAUGGCACGAUCUUGAUGUAUCGGGGGCUUUGUUAAUAUAGUUGGAUCCUAUGGUAUUUCUCCCUCUCUAUCUUGUUGUGAUGAAUUGAGUUUUCCCUUUGAGGUUUCGUUGUUAUCGGAUUGAAUACUUAUAUGGAUUCAAGAGCACUUGAUGUAUGCCUUGCAUAUGAAUACCCAUGGUGACAAUGGGGUAUUAUGUUGAUUCACUUGAGAUAUGUUUUGGCACUCAACUCGUGGAUUCCUGAGGUGGGGUAAUCUAUGCAUAGGGGUUGAUCCACGUUCUCGUCUUUUGUUUCUCCGGUAGAAAUCUUGGGGCACUCUUUGUGUUGGAUUGAGUAUUAUGAAUUUGAAAUUGUUUUGGUGUUAUUUUAGUAUGAACUCUUGAAAGAUCGAUUGGAAAAAAUAACUUAGUGUUAUUUUAGUAUGAACUCUUGAUAGAUCGAUCAGAAAGAGUAACUUGGUGUUAUUUUAGUAUGAACUCUUGGAUAGAUCCAUCAGAAAGAAUAGCUACAAACAAUUUCUUCGUAUGUUCUCCGCUAGAAAAUAACUUUGGAGUGAUUCUUCAUCGCACUUUGAGGGAUAUUAUAAAAAUAUAUUUCUAUCAUCCACAUUACACUUUUAUCACCAUCUCUUCGCCGAACUAGUGCACCUAUACAAUUUUCCAUUGUAUUGGGUGUGUUGGGGACACAAGAGAUUUCUUAUAUUUGGUUGUAGGGUUGUUUGAGAGAGACCAUCUUCAUCCUAUGGCUUCCUCCGAUUGAUAAACCUUAGGUCAUCCACUUGAGGGAAAAUUGCUACCGUCCUACAAAACUCUGCGCUUGGAUGCCCAACACGAGUCUACAAGAAUAAAGUUGUGUAGUAGACACCAAGCUCUUUUCUGGUGCCGUUGCCGAGGAGGUGAGUGCUUGAAGCUAUAUCUUUGGAUCUUGCAAUCGAAUCUUUUAGUUUCUUGUUUUAUCACUAGUUUGGUUUAUAAAAAGAAAACUACAAAAAAUGGAAUUGAGGUAGUCUCAUAUUGUUCAUCUUUAUAAUGUCUUUCUUGAAAGUGAUGGAUCGAAAAAUUGUGCUCAAUUGAUAGAAGAAGAAUUCAAUAAAAUGUUUGGCAUAAAUGACGAGCAUGAUUGCAAUGUUGUUAGUAUGAAUUCUAUAAAUAUCCAAAAUGCUAACGAUGAUUGCACUAGUCAUGAGAAAAAUGUUUCUUAUAAGGACUUUGUGAAGCCGUGCCUUAUAGGGAAGAUAGAUUUUGUAAGAAGCAUAAAAAUGAUAGAACCAAUUUUUUGCUCAGAGUGAUAGAUAAAUUUGCUACAAAAUUAUGUUCUAUUUGUCCUAUUACUUGUGAUCUUUGCAAUAAAGUUGGCCACCUUAAUUUCCAUUGCAUGUUUUUUCAUGAUCGAAUCGUGUCCCAAUAUUACAAUAACUUGAUCACCCUUGAAAUUUAUAAUGAGCUUUGUCUAUUUUUGGGGAGUGAAGAAUUGGCACAUAAAAAUAGUUGGUUUGAAGUAUUCAUUCCCCACAUACGACAAUGAAACUAAUCUAAAAAAUAUCUAUAUGUUUUGCAUGGUAAAUUGCAAUGAGAAUGCUUAUAUUGCCAACUAUAGAAAGAUGGGAAAACCAAUAGAAUAUGAAAAUACUAAUGAAAGGAUAAAGAUUUCGACUUUCCCUCCUAUUGUCUCUCAUGAUGAAAUAGGUGACGAGGAGGAGCUCCCUAUUCAACCAAUCUCAUCAACAAGAAGCUCACAAAAAUUAAUUAAACCCACACAUGACGUGGUGAAGAAGAAGAAAAGAAGAAACAAUAGAGGUAAAAAGGUACCUCUCCCAAAUAAUGUUGCUACUAUUAUUGUUGUGCCUCAUGAAAAUGAAUCAAAAAUAACAGUGGAAGAUGAUGCACUUGAUGAUGAUAUUGCUUCUUUCUCUCAUGGCACAAUGUCCGAGAGCACUAUUGAUGAUGAUUUUGUUAUGCCUAUUACUUGUUGUGAUAUUUAUGAUUGGGAAGAUAAUGAUACUUCUUAUAAUCUUGGAAAUAUUUUUGGCACCAACUUGGGAAGUUAUGAUGAUAGCAAUUGUUAUACCAUUGGUGCUAUUCAUACUAUUAAUGAUGAGAGUGAUUAUGCUUAUGAUAUGCCAAGCCACAAGCUUGGGGAUGCUAUGUUUGAUGAGAAUGGCACGUUUGAGAAUUUAUUUGCUGAAAUUAAUGUUUGUCCCAAGCUUGGGGAUUCUAUGCUUAAUGAAGAUGAUAUUUUUAGCCCCCCUACUUGGAAUGAUCAAAUUUUCUGUGAUGAUUGCACGCCUCUUACUUAUGAUGAUUGCAAUAUUUAUGAAAGUGGGUUUGGAAGAGUGUCAACUUUAGAUAAUAUUUGUCCCACUAUUUUGGAGGGUGUUGAAUCCUAUUAUGAUGAUAAAAGUGGAUUUGAAGAGGUCAUGACUUUAUUUAGUAAUGAUUCCACUAUUUCAGAAGAGGUUUCAAUUGACUAUGAUGAGAACAAAGUUGCUACUUAUGAUGAUUAUUGUGGUGAUACUUAUGAUAUAAAAAGUAGUGAUAAUUAUUGUCAUAAUUUUGAAUAUCCUUUUACUGAACAAUAAUAUUUUAAUGUGGAAACAAUUUAUAGUAUUCCAAUUUCAUAUGAUACUCCGACUAUUGUGAAUGAGAAUAAAUUUGCUUAUGUGGAGAGUAAGAAAUUUUCUAUGAUUUUGGAUCAUGAACGAAUACUUUAUGUGAUAGCUAUAUUGAUGAAUCCAUUCAUGAUGCUACUGAAAAUUAUUAUGAGAGAGGAACUUAUGAUUCAUGAUGCUAUUAUUAUGUUUCAAAUCUUUACUUUUAUGUGAGCAUCAUUGAAAUCAUCAUGCCUAGCUAAAAGGCAUUAAAGAAAAGCGCUUGUUGGGAGACAACCCAGCAUUUACCUCUACUGUUUUUAUGUGUUCACAUGAUUAGUAUACUAUAGUAAUCAUUUUUAUAGCUUUUGUUUCAAUAAAGUACCAAGUAAAGCCUUUGGGAUAGUGUGGAUGAUAGUUGACUUGAUUCUGUGCAAAAACAGAAACUUUUGUGCUCAGUCCAGGAAUUUUCAAAAUUCACUGGAACGCGAUUUUGAUCUGAAUUUUUUAUAGGUUAUAGAUAUACAAAUUCCCUAUGUUGUCCUAAUUUUUCAUAAUGUUUGGAGUAGCAAAAGUAUGGUAGUUGUCCAGAUCAUUACAGACUUUUCUGUUUUUUGACAGAUUCUGUUUUCAAUCAUAGUUUACUUGUUUUCUAGUUUCUAUGGCUUAUAUUGGUCAAUAUAAAUUGUAGAAAUUAUAAGGUACAAUAGGCAUUGUGUGGGGACAAUAAAGAAUCUUGUCUUUGACAGUACCAAAGUGGAUGAUUUGUCUUUAUCAUACUAACCUAUCUCACAAAGUUCCGUUAAGUUUUGUGUGAUUGGGGGAAAUUGAAGCCAUCCUCAUCACCAACAACCCUCUCAUCGUGGGAGGGACAAUAUUAAUCAACAUAUUAAACAACACCAUCUCAUCUCAAACCCUAGUUCAUCUCUUGUAUUCAAUCUUUGUAUCAAAAUCUCAGAUUGGUACCUGUGGGCCAGAUCCGUUAAGUUUUGUGUGAUUGAAGUUUUGAAGUUCUGGGUGAGAUAUCGAUAUGAGGAGAAUAAGGAGUGACAAGACCCUAGGCUUGGGUAUGCCCAAGGCACCCCCAAGGUACUAUUCAAGGUAGAUCCAAGCAACUAAUCUUGGGGAUGCCCCGGAAGGCAUCCCCUCUUUCGUCACCAACAUUAUCGGUAACCUUACUUGGAGCUAUAUUUUCAUUCGUCACAUGAUAUGUGUUUUUCUUGGAGCAUCAUUUUAUUUUGCUAGGAUUUUCUUGAUGUUAUUUAGAAUAAUGUUUUGCAACUUUUACUUCAAUAAAAAUCUCAAGUAUAUCCUUUGCCAUGCUUAUUUUGCAAGUAUAUAUGUUGCUCUUCAAAACAGAAAGUUUAUCGUUGUUGCAAAAAUUCUCUAGAAAAGUCAGAAUGUGAUAAAAUGUUGAAAUUUUUUGCACACUAAUCUAUGAUAAAUCUUCUACAGACUGGUAAAUUUUUCAGAAUUUUGUUUAGACAGAUUGCUGUUAUGUUUGCAUUGUUUGCAUAUGUUUGCUUGUUUAAUGAUUCUAUUUGAGGAUAGGAGUAUUAAACAUGCAGAGGCAUUUAGUAUGAAAUGUUAAAUAAUAAUUUUAGUAACUUGCCACAGUAGAGAAUGAUAAGGUUUUGCAUUGAUUUAUACUAACUUAUCUCACGAGUUCUUGUUGAGUUUUGUGUGGAUGAAGUUUUUGAGAUUUAGGGAAAUCGUGAUAUGAGAGGAAUUAAGGAGACACAAGAGCUCAAGCUUGAGGAUGCCCAAGGCAUCCCAAAUUAAUAUUUCAACAAGUCUCAAGCAUCUAAGCUUGGGGAUGCUCCGAUAGGCAUCCCACCUUUCUUCUUCAACAAUUAUUGGUUAGUAUCGGUUGAGCCUAAGUUUUUGCUUCUCUACAUGAUGUGUGCUAUCCUUGGAAUGUCAUUCUAUUUGGUUUUUUCUUGCUGUUUUAAUAAAAUACUUAGACCUGAAAGUUUUUAAAUAAGAGAGAGUCCUCAAUUAGCUACCCCUUUACUUAACUACUCGCUUGAACUUCACUUAUAUCUUCUUGGAGUAGUUUGUCAUUUACUCUAGUGCUUCACUUAUAUCUUUUUGAGCACGACGUGCUUUAAAUUUUUUGAAGAAAAACUCUCAUGCUUCACUUAGAUUUAUUUGAGAGUUAGUAUAUUUUUGAAGAAAUUCUCUCAUGCUUCACUUACAUAUUUUGAGACAAGAAAAUUUCUAUGCUCAUGUUCUUCACUUAAAUUUGUUUUGAGCUUAUCAAAAGCAACAUAUGAAAUUAGUCCCAAAGUGACAGAUGGGUUUGGGCGCCUCCCCCUAGGUGCCUUGGCCCCCAAGGCAAGUGGAGGAAACCCUAGGGAGGUGCCCCACCUCUUCAAGCAAUGUUGGAAAAGGGUCUUGGGAUGCACAACCCCUUAGUGGGCUGGUGUGCUACCUCCCCUUUGGCCCAUGAGGCCCCCAACACUUGCCGUGGCCUCCCAAAACCUCUUUCGGUCAUGUUGGUCAUCACCCGGUACCCCAGGAACACUUCCGGACUCCAAUACCCUUCGUCCAAUAUAUCAAUCUUCACCAACGGACCAUUCCAGAGUUCCUCGUCACAUCCGGGAUCGCAUCCGGGACUCCAAACAACCUUGGGUUACCACCAUAAUGACUCAACUAUACUUAUAUCGUCACGAAACAUUAAGUGUGUAGACCCCGCGGGAUCGAGAAUUAUGCAGACAUGACCGAGACACCUCUACGAUCAAUAACCAAUAGCGGGACCUGGGUGCCCAUAUUGGUUCCUACAUAUUCUACGAAGAUCUUUAUCGGUCGAACCUCGAUGUCAAGGAUUCAACUAAUCCCAUAUGUAGUUCCCUUUGUCUAUCGGUAUGUUACUUGCCCGAGAUUCGAUCAUCGAUAUCUCCAUACCUAGUUCAAUCGUGUUACCGGCAAGUCUCUUUACUCGUUCCAUACUACAAGAUUCCAUGACUAACUCCUUAGUCACAUUGCUUGCAAGCUUUUUUGAUGUUCCAUUACUGAGAGGGCCUAGAGAUACCUCUCGGUCGUAUGGAGUGACAAAUCCCAGUCUUGAUCCAUGCCAACUCAAUAGACACCCUCGCAAAUACCUGUAGAGCAGCUUUAUAGUCACCCAGUUAUGUUGCGAUGUUUGGUACACACAAGGUAUUCCUCCGGUGUCAAGUGAGUUGCAGGAUCCUCAUGGUCAUAGGAACAUAUAUACUUGACAUGCAAAAAAUGUACAAUAAACCUGAUAUGAUCAUAUGCUAUGUUUACAGUUUGGGUCUUGUCCAUCACAUCAUUCUCAUAAUGGUGUGGCCCCAUUAUCAAAUGACAACUCAUGUCCAUGGCUAGGAAACCAUAGCCAUUUUUGAUCAAUGGGCUAGUCUAGUAGAGGCUCACUAGGGACAUGUUGUUGUCCAUGUAUUGAUGACCCACAAGUAUAUGGGGUCAAUUGUAGCCUUUUCGAUAAGUAAGAGUUUCAAACCCAACGAGGAGCAGAAGGAAAUGGUGGUUUUCAGCAAGGUAAUGUCUGCAAGUGCUAAAAUUGUAAGUGUCGGCGUUCUGGGAACGGGGGUACCUAGACUUGCCUGCCUGCGGCCUGCGGCGUGGCUCAAGUGGGGGCCCAGUGCAGCCCAGCUUCAUCAGCUCAAGCUCAAGACCCUCGCGAGGGGCCAAGCCUCGCGGGGCGGACGAUAGGAAGCUUCCUUAGGAGCAGCCUCGUCAGGCAGGCUCGCAAGGAGGCGGAGAGAUCAAGGCAAGGGCACCUCCCGAGGAGCUCGUGACGCAAGCCAUGACGAUCGAGACCAGGCGGGCGUCGGCCUGCGCAGUGUCCUUGUUUCCCCUUCGGUGCAAAGGGGGCAAGCACAGGCCAAGGCAUCAGGCAAAGGUUACUGUUUCGGUGCAACAAGACCAAGACCAGCAGAACGACAGGAUGGAGGUCAUCGUGGAGCCCAGGACGGCGUCAUCGUCAGAGCCUUUGGUAGCCAUAGACCAACUUUAGUCAGGAUAAGUGUACUAGAUGUUCCCCUUCAAAAUGGCCUAUUGUUGGCGCCCUUCUCGCUCAUUAUUUGGGAGAGGCCCAGGGCCUCCCUCUAUAAAUAGGACUAGCCACCACAGAGUAGGGGCAGCUGGGAGACAGAUCGAUCAGAGAGAGAGAGAAGCGACUGAACUCACCCAAGCAGUUCAUCGCACCAGCUCAAGAACAGCCCCUCGCGAGGCUGUUCUCCCUUUGUAUUGUUCAUCAUCAGCCCCUGAGGCAAUCCACCACACCACACACUGAAGUAGGAUAUUACACCACAAUGGUGGCCUGAACCAGUAUAAAUCUCGUGUCCCUUGUGUGUUCUUCUUUCUAGCCUAGAUUCCUUGCAAGGCUUCGAAACGUGAGCUGGUAGGGGGAAAAUCUUUGUGUGCACCCCAGAGUUCGAACCUCAAGGGUCUGCCGGAACCCGAAAUCCGACAUUUGGCGCGCUAGGUAGGGGUGCGCCGGAAUCUUUCUUCCGAUGGUCGCGUGUGAUCUUCCGUCGUGCCCAUGUCUGACGCUCGCCGAGCCUGUGCCAAGCGUCGGGCUACUCUUGCCACUCGAGUCGCCCAGACGGCUCCUGUCGGCGGACGCCCCCGUCGCCUGCAACUAACGCCGCCACCGGCCUGGCGGGGAACGAGCAGCAGGCCUCUUCCCUGCAUCCUUCGGUGCAGCGGGAAGGCCGCACCGCCACCCCGUCGCUGACUCCAGCCGGUCCGUCGUCCCACGCCCGUCGCGCCCCCACGGACGCGCACGUUGUGCUGCUCCUGAUGCGUGAGCUCCUGCACUACCGUCCCGUCGACGACCUCUACGAGGACUGGCUCGCCUGCAUCACCGAGCUCGUCAGCGCCGCAGGGGGCUCCCCUGUGCCGUCCCUCUCGCUGCCUCGCCCUCCGUCCUGCGCAGGAGGCAAGGAGCAGGAGGUGCCUCCGCCACCUCCUCCCCAAGAAGGUGCCCUGGCUCCAAGGCGCGCGGCCCUAGGACGAGACCCACCAUAUCCGGCGCCUGCACGACAAGAAAGGAGCUGCCAGGAAAUUCCUCGUCCCCAAGAAGGUGCCCGCGUGCUCCCAGCACCGGUGCGCCAUGACCACAUCCCUGCGCCACCACGUCAAGACCCCGCGCUGCUCCAGGCAGCAGUGUGCGGGAAUCCCCACGAGCAAGCCCCGCAUCAGCAGAGAGCUCCGGUGGCGACUGCAGGCUGCCGCGCCUUCACCGCCGAGCUGCGUAGCGUCGCAUGGCCCGACAAGUUCAAGCCGGACCUGCCUCCUCGCUACGACGGUACUGCCGACCCCGUGGAGUUCCUCCAGUUCUACGAGCUGGGCAUCGAAGCCGCCAACGGGGACGAAAAGGUCAUGGCGAAUUGGUUCCCCAUGGCGCUCAAGGACGGUGCCCGCACCUGGCUCCUGAAGCUGGCUCCUGGCACGAUCUCCUCCUGGGACGAGAUGCGCACUCGCUUCAUCGCCAACUUCCAAGGCACUCGCGACCAGCCCCCGGCCAUGAAUGACCUGUGCUGCAUUAAGCAACAGCCAGGAGAGACCCUGCAGAAGUACAUCCAGCGCUUCAACAACACCCAUGCUAUGUCUUGAGCUUGCGUUGGUUUUCCUCAAAGAGGAGAGGGUGAUGCAGCAAGUAUAGCGUAAGUAUUUCCCUCAGUUUUGAGAACCAAGGUAUCAAUCCAGUAGGAGGCUCCUCAAAAGUCCCACGCACCUACACAAACAAACUGAGAACUCGCAACCAACGCAAUAAAGGGGUUGUCAAUCCCUUCACGGCCACUUGCGAAAGUGAGAUCUAAUAAAGAUAGUAUGAUAAGAUAAAUAUAUUUUUGGUAUUUUAUAAUAUAGAUGCAAAAAGUAAAGAUGCAAAUAAAGGUAAACUGAAAGCAAAUAUGAUAAGAGAUAGACCCGGAGGCCAUAGGUUUCACUAGAGGCUUCUCUCAAGAUAGCAUAAGUAUUACGGGGGGUGAACAAAUUACUAUCGAGCAAUUGAUAGAAAAGCGCAUAGUUAUGAGAUUAUCUAGGCAUGAUCAUGUAUAUAGGCAUCACGUCCAUAACAAGUAGACCGACUCCUGCCUGCAUCUACUACUAUUACUCCACACAUCAACUGACUCCUGCCUGCAUCUAGAGUAUUAAGUUCAUAAGAACAGAGUAACGCAUUAAGCAAGAUGACAUGAUGUAGAGGGAUAAACUCAUGCAAUAUGAUGUAAAACCCAUCUUGUUAUCCUCGAUGGCAACAAUACAAUACGCGCCUUGCAACCCUUUUUGUCACUAGGUAAGGACACCGCAAGAUUGAACCCAAAGCUAAGCACUUCUCCCAUGGCAAGAAAGACCAAUCUAGUAGGCCAAACCAAACUGAUAAUUCGAAGAGACUUGCAAAGAUAACUCAAUCAUACAUAAAAGAAUUCAGAGAAGAUUCAAAUAUUAAUCAUAGAUAAACUUGAUCAUAAACCCACAAUUCAUCGGAUCUCGACAAACACACCGCAAAAAGAGUUUACAUCGAAUAGAUCUCCACAAGAGAGGGGGAGAACAUUGUAUUGAGAUCCAAAAAGAGAGAAGAAGCCAUCUAGCUAAUAACUAUGGACCCGUAGGUCUGUGGUAACCUACUCACAACUCAUCGGAGGGGCAAGGAUGUUGAUGUAGAAGCCCUCCAUGGUCGAUUCCCCCUCCGGCAGAGUGCCGGCGAAGGCUCCAAGAUGAGAUCUCGCGGAUACAGAAGGUUACGGUGGUGGAAGUUGUGUUUCGUGGUGCUCCUGGAUGUUUUCGGGGUACGUAGGUACAUAUAGGAGGAAGAAGUACGUCGAUGGCCGCCCGAGGGGCCCACGAGAUAGGGGGCGCACCCUAUAGGGGGGGGGGGCGGCCCCCUAUCUCAUGGGGCCCUCAAAAGCUUCUUGACUUGCACUCCAAGCUCUCCGGAUCACGUUCGUUCCAAAAAUCACGCUCCUGAAGGUUUCAUUCCGUUUGGACUCCGUUUGAUAUUCCUUUUCUUCGAAAUACUGAAAUAGGCAAAAAAACAGCAAUAUGGGCUGGGCCUCCGGUUAGUAGGUUAGUCCCAAAAAUGAUAUAAAUGUGUAAAAUAAAGCCCAUAAACAGCCAAAAGGGGUAAUAUAAUAGCAUGGAACAAUAAAAAAUUAUAGAUACGUUGGAGACAUAUCAAGCAUCCCCAAGCUUAAUUCCUGCUCGUCCUCGAGUAGGUAAAUGAUAAAAAAGAGAAUUUUUGAUGUGGAAUGCUACCUAGCAUAAUUCAUAAUGUAAUUUUCUUUAUUGUGGCAUGAAUGUUCAGAUCCAAAUGAUUCAAAAUAAAAGUUCAUAUUGAUAAAAGAAAUAGUAACACUUCAAGCAUACUAAUCAAAGUGAUCAUGUCUUCUCAAAAUAGCAUGGCAAAAGAAAGUUCAUCCCUACAAAAUCAUAUAGUUAGGCUAUGCUUCAUUUUUGUCACACAAAGAUGUUCCCAACUUCUAUACCCCCGAUGACAAGCCAAGCAAUUGUUUCAUACUUAAAUAAUCUCAAACUUUUUCAACCUUCACGCAAUACAUUAGCGUGAGCCAUGGAUAUAUCACUAUGGGUGGAAUAGCGUAUGAUGAUGGGGAUUGUGUGGAGAAGACAAAAAAGAGAAAGUCUCACAUUGACGAGGAUAAUCAAUUGGCUAUGGAGAUGCCCAUCAAUUGAUGUCAACAUGAGGAGUAGGGAUUGCCAUGCAACGGAUGCACUAGAGCUAAAAAUGAAUGCUCAACAAAAGAAAACUAGUGGGUGUGCAUCCAACUUGCUUGCUCACGAAGACCUAGGGCAUUUGAGGAAGCCCAUCAUAGGAAUAUACAAGCCAAGUUCUAUAAUGAAAAAUCCCCACUAGUAUGAAAAAGACAACUUAUGAGACUCACUAUAUGAAAAACAAGGUGCUACUUUGAAGCACAAUAUAUGAGACUCACUACAUGAAGAACAAGGUGCUACUUUGAAGCACAAGUGUGGAAAAAGAGAUAGUAACAUUGCCCUUUUUAUUUAUUUAUUUGUUUUUCUUUUUUUUCUUUUUUUUGGGCAUUUCUUUUUUUUCUUUUGGCCUUUCUUUUUUUUUUCUUUGGGCAAUGUUCUAAUAAUGAUGAUCAUCACACUUCUAUUGAUUACAACAUAAGAAUUACAACUCGAAACUAGAACAACAUAUGACUCUAUAUGAAUGCCUCUGGCGGUGUACCGAGAUGGUGCAAUGAAUCAAGAGUGACAUGUAUGAAAAAUAAUGCUUGGUGGCUUUGCCACAAAUACGAUGUCAACUAUAUGAUCAUGCAAUGGCAAUAUGACAAAAGUAAUGUAUGUCAUGAUGAUGAUGAGCGGCAUGGUGGAAAGUUGCAUGGCAAUAUAUCUCGGAAUGGCUAUGGAAAUGCCAUAAUAGGUAGGUAUGGUGGCUGUUUUGAGGAAGAUAUAAUGAGGUUUAUGUGUGAUAGAGCAUAUCGUAUCCCAGGGUUUGGAUGCACCGGUGAAGUUUGCACCAACUCUCAAGGUGAGAAAGGGCAAUGCACGGUACCGAAGAGGCUAGCAAAGGUGGAAAGGUAAAAGUGCGUAUAAUCCAUGGACUCAACAUUAGUCAAAAGAAAUCAUAUACUUAUUGCAAAAAUUUAGAAGUCAUCAAAAACCAAGUACUAUGCACAUGCUCCUAGGGGGAUAGAUUGGUAGGAAAAGACCAUCGCUCGUCCCCGACCGCCACUCAUAAGGAUGCAUAAGCCAAGUACACUUCAUGUUUCAAAUUUGUUACACAACUUUAACCAUACGUGCAUGCUACGGGACUUGCUAACUUCAACACAAGCAUUCUUUAAAUUCAUAAUCACCCAACUAGCAUGACUUCAAUAUCACUACCUCCAUAUCUCAAAACAAUUAUCAAGUAUCAAAUUGAUCAUAGCAUCCAAUUCACUUCCUAUGAUAGUUUUUAUUAUACCCAACUUGGAUGCCUACCAUUCUAGGACCAACUUUAUGAUAAUAGCAAAUACCAUGCUGUUCUAAAAGACUCUCAAAAUAAUAUAAGUGAAGCAUGAGAGACUAGCAAUUUCUUCAAAAUUAAGACACCACCGUGCUCUAAAAGAUAUAAGUGAAGCACUAAAGCAAAAACUACCAAGCUCAAAAGAUAUAAGUGAAGCACAUAGAGUAUUCUAGCAAAUUCUAAUCAAAUAGGCUUCUCCCAAAAGGUGUGUACAGCAAGGAUGAUUGUGGUAAACUAAAAAGAAAAGACUAAUAUAAUACACGACGCUCCAAUCAAAACACAUAUCAUGUAGCGAAUAAAAAUAUAGCCCCAAGUAAAGUUACCAAUGAACGAAGAC